UACGGAGGGAGCUAGCGUUGUUCGGAAUUACUGGGCGUAAAGCGCACGUAGGCGGCUUUGUAAGUUAGAGGUGAAAGCCCGGGGCUCAACCCCCGGAAUUGCCUUUAAGACUGCAUCGCUUGAAUCCAGGAGAGGUGAGUGGAAUUCCGAGUGUAGAGGUGAAAUUCGUAGAUAUUCGGAAGAACACCAGUGGCGAAGGCGGCUCACUGGACUGUAUUGACGCUGAGGUGCGAAAAGCGUGGGGAGCAAACAG
This 253-nucleotide ribosomal RNA is filed under the name uncultured bacterium. Its description in RNAcentral is "partial 16S ribosomal RNA". It matches the Rfam family "Bacterial small subunit ribosomal RNA", at positions 524 to 775 of the family's 1533-position model. The record is from RNAcentral.